Long non-coding RNA from Pseudophryne corroboree (corroboree frog), 964 nucleotides. RefSeq lists it as uncharacterized. The record is from RefSeq and is a predicted model, not a curated record. Lineage: Eukaryota; Metazoa; Chordata; Amphibia; Anura; Myobatrachidae. The transcript has 2 exons.
CAGUAUGUCUGACAUUGUGCAUCACACUACAGUGCAGGUGUAUGUCAUUAUAUAACUGACAGACCGCAGCCCCAGCAACUGCUCAAGAGCUCAGGAGCAGGUCACAUGACCAGUCAGGUGGUUAGGCCGGUGACAGUUGGGAGAGGUAGUUGAUGGAGAGCUCGCUGAGGGGACGGAGAGAGGUGCGCUGGUGAUGCGUACUCGGUGCGGCAUUAACAGCUGUGGUAACCGCUUCGUACCUGCAUCUGAUGACAAAGUUAAGCUGAAUUACCCCGAACAGACUCCGGUGUGUCCCGCUGAGCUUGGAGAGUGAGUCCGGUGUGGAGAUCCUUAUCCGCGCUACAGAGAAGAUGUCAUCGCUGAUGCUGAUGAUGGGGGCGGUAGCGGAUCCCUCCCUCUGACUGCCUGCUGUAAGAUACUUCUAGUGGGGACGCCUUCAGGAAAGUGUCUUGGAGGUGACUGACAUUCAUAGAUGGAGACUCUGCCCGACAGUGAAGUACAUUUCGGUUACCCCUAGCUCUAUUAAAAGCCAAUAGACACUGUAACUUGGGAGGCUACCACCAUUGCAGAAUGCCAAUAAUAGACAACCAGGCAAAAGGAAAGUGAUUCACCUAUUGCACAUGCAGUUUGCAGUGAAGGUCCCGCAGGUCUAAAAGCAGACACUAAGCAAGCAACAGCACUGAGGUGGUGCUAAAGCCACUGAAAACCUGCAGACAGCAUGCUGAGGACCACAGCAGACAUGCCAGCAGUGUAUUUGAGAGCGGUUCUACAGCAGAUAAGAUACAGAAGUCUAUUUAAUUGGAAAGAAUUAUUGCCUAUUGGUUACCAUAUUGAAAAUUCAUUUGUUUAUGUUUGUCAUAUUUAAUUUGUACCAAAAUUACUGUCAUUAUUUUCUCUCUAAAGUGACCAUCCCUGGACUCACAUCCUCUUACAUCCCUUUAAUAAAUCUACUUGAUUAUUCUAA